This 73-nucleotide transfer RNA is filed under the name Lejeunea cavifolia. RNAcentral's name for it is "tRNA-Glu". It matches the Rfam family "tRNA". Rfam says of the family: Transfer RNA (tRNA) molecules are approximately 80 nucleotides in length. Their secondary structure includes four short double-helical elements and three loops (D, anti-codon, and T loops). RNAcentral also lists the same sequence under 17 other names. Lineage: Eukaryota; Viridiplantae; Streptophyta; Jungermanniopsida; Porellales; Lejeuneaceae. The record is from RNAcentral.
GCCCCCAUCGUCUAGUGGCCCAGGACAUCUCUCUUUCAAGGAGGCGACGGGGAUUCGAAUUCCCCUGGGGGUA